RNAcentral lists this transfer RNA (62 nucleotides) under Eiconaxius baja. RNAcentral describes it as "tRNA-Ala". Lineage: Eukaryota; Metazoa; Arthropoda; Malacostraca; Decapoda; Axiidae. The record is from RNAcentral.
GAAAUAAUAGUUCAAAAAGAAUUUAUGAUUUGCAUUCAUAAGAUGUAGUAUCUACUUAUUUU